UAUUAAAGGCAACGCCUGCCCAGUGAAUAAUUAAACGGCCGCGGUACCCUAACCGUGCAAAGGUAGCGUAAUCACUUGCCUAUUAAUUGUAGGCCUGUACGAAAGGCAUCAUGAGGGCCUAACUGUCUCUUUUAGUAAAUCAAUUAAACUGAUCUCCCAGUCAAAAAGCUGGGAUAGUAACAUAAGACCAGAAGACCCUGUGAAGCUUUAACUAAACUAUUAAAUCCUAUAAUAACUACUUUAGGUUGGGGCGACCUUGGAAAAAAAAAGAACUUCCAUAAUACUUUAUAUUAUUAUAUAAACCAAGACCAACAAGUCUACAACGACCCAGCAUAGCUGAUAAUUGAACCAAGUUACUCCAGGGAUAACAGCGCUAUCUUCUUCAAGAGCCCAUAUCAAAAAGAAGGUUUACGACCUCGAUGUUGGAUCAGGACACCCCAAUGGUGCAGCCGGUAUUAAAGGUUCGUUUG
This 470-nucleotide ribosomal RNA is filed under the name Laticauda colubrina (yellow-lipped sea krait). Its description in RNAcentral is "partial 16S ribosomal RNA". It matches the Rfam family "Bacterial large subunit ribosomal RNA", at positions 1844 to 2579 of the family's 2925-position model. Lineage: Eukaryota; Metazoa; Chordata; Lepidosauria; Squamata; Elapidae. The record is from RNAcentral.